This 1362-nucleotide ribosomal RNA is filed under the name uncultured organism. Its description in RNAcentral is "partial 16S ribosomal RNA". It matches the Rfam family "Bacterial small subunit ribosomal RNA", at positions 35 to 1377 of the family's 1533-position model. The record is from RNAcentral.
GCUGGCGGCGUGCUUACACAUGCAAGUCAAGGCAGAAAGUACCUUCGGGUGCGAGUAAACUGGCGAACGGGUAAGUAACGUGUAGGUAAUUUUCCUUUAAGUGGGGUAUAGCCAGGCGAAAGCCUGAUUAACACCGCAUACAAUCAUGAUUCGAUGGGGUUGUGAUAAAAGAUGGGUUCCUUCGGGACCAUUGCCUAAAGAUAAGCCUGCAUCUGAUUAGUUAGUUGGUAGGGUAACGGCCUACCAAGACCACGAUCAGUAGCUGUUCUAAGAGGAAGAUCAGCCACAUUGGGACUGAGAUACGGCCCAGACUCCUACGGGAGGCAGCAGUGAGGAAUUUUGCGCAAUGGGUGAAAUCCUGACGCAGCAACGCCGCGUGACCGAUUGAAGAUUUUAGGAGUGUAAAGGUCUGUCGCGAGGGAAGAAAAUAACCGAGAAGAAAAGUUCGGUAGUUGACGGUACCUCGCAAGCAAGCUCCGGCUAACUUCGUGCCAGCAGCCGCGGUAAUACGAGGGGAGCAAGCGUUGUCCGAAAUAACUGGGCGUAAAGGGUACGUAGGCUUUUUUGUAUGUUUUCGGUGAAAGUCACAGGCUUAACUUGUGAAUUGCCGGAAAAACUGCAGAGAUUGAAUCCGAAAGGGGAAAGCAGAAUUCCUGGUGUAGCGGUGAAAUGCGUAGAUAUCAGGAAGAACACCGGUGGCGAAGGCGGCCUGCUGGGACAGUGCUGACGCUGAGGCACGAAAGCGUGGGGAGCGAACGGGAUUAGAUACCCCGGUAGUCCACGCCGUAAACGAUGGAUACUAGAUGUUGGACACGCUGAAGUGUUCAGUGUCGAAACAAAUGCGAUAAGUAUCCCGCCUGGGGAGUACGACCGCAAGGUUUAAACUCAAAGGAAUUGACGGGGGCCCGCACAAGCGGUGGAGCAUGUGGUUUAAUUCGAUGCAACGCGAAGAACCUUACCCGGAUUCGACAUCCUUCGGACCGUCUCUGGAGACAGAGACUUUCUCUUCGGAGACCGAAGUGACAGGUGCUGCAUGGCUGUCGUCAGCUCGUGUUGUGAAAUGUUGGGUUAAGUCCCGCAACGAGCGCAACCCUUGUUCUUAGUUGCCAGCAUUAAGAUGGGCACUCUAAGAAGACUGCCGAGGUUAACUCGGAGGAAGGUGGGGAUGACGUCAAGUCCUCAUGGCCCUUAUGUCCGGGGCUACACACGUGCUACAAUGGUAUAGACAGAGGGAAGCUACGCCGCAAGGCCACGCGGAUCCUCAAACUGUAUCACAGUUCGGAUCGGGGUCUGCAACUCGACCUCGUGAAGGUGGAAUCGCUAGUAAUCCGGAUCAGCAUGCCGCGGUGAAUAAGUUCCCGG